This is a long non-coding RNA of Gasterosteus aculeatus aculeatus (three-spined stickleback), 1585 nucleotides long. The record is from Ensembl. NCBI's taxonomy places the organism in Eukaryota, Metazoa, Chordata, Actinopteri, Perciformes, Gasterosteidae.
CACAAAGACGGUCCUUGUAUAACAAUUUUAAUUUACAGAACAUUGUCAUUUAGUGCAAAUAACACUUCUGAUGUACAACUUAGAAAUAUAGAAAGUGUAGAUUACUGACAAUAUCAAAAUUAAAAACACUGGAGGCAUUCUUAAGCUGACAUUGCUCAUAGAUCCAGCUCCUAUAAUCAUCCAGAUCCUUUUGAACAUCUGACCCCUUGGACUGAACAGAUCUACUAAGGACAAAACUCCCACCCUAUGAUGGCAUUAAACAUUGGUAUAAAUUUACAUCUUGAGGUAAGAUAUGAAAUGCUGACCAUUCCUAAGUUAAUUUAAGUGUUGGUAAAUGCACAUCAGGUGGCUGUACAGUUAAGAUAUCCAGGAGCUCAAGGGUUCGUUCUGGAGUUAUUUCUUUCAGUCAAAGGGCAGGAGGCCACUGCACUGUAGGGUGGCAUGUGAAAUGUAAUUAGAAUACGAUUCUAAAGGGACAGAUGUCCUACUCCACAUUUUAUAAUUUGACCGUGUCCUUGCAAUAGCAGUUGAUCUACUUUAGCAACCUGACAAUUGUACAGACGAGAGUUUUUUUCUGCAUCAUCAGGGGUCUCAAAGUUGUACCAGGUUGCGCAGAGAUAACGUACAGAUGCCCUUUUACAACUCCGCAUCGGCAGUCAAUUCCAAUAUUUACAUUCCACUUUAAUUAUCACUACCAACCAUGUCUAAAAUAUUGGCCAAAUGCUCUUUAGAUCCUACUCCAGGUUUCCUGAGCCUUACUGUCACUGCCUUCAUCCCUCAAUUCACGUUUCUCACAUUGGUAAAUUAACUAAAAGCGUAUUCGGUUUUCUCCGUACAAUACAUUGUGUCCCUGGUGCUCGCCAAAAGCUACUUUAUAACCAUCUAGAAAUAUAAAGAUUUAGGCCCUGGCCCCCUUUCAAACUGCAAAGGGAGACGUAUGUCGGGGGGGACGGGAAAAGGCAGAAAACAGGUGAUAAUGUACCAAACCUGAUCAAUGCUUCUUCUGUCAAUAUCGUCUUUCCUCUCUCAUGGUAGUAACUUUAGCAGCAGCAAAACAAGUGGCUGUAAUACUAGUGAUUAAAGUAAUCCCCCAAAAGUGUAAUCAUAAGAAAUGUACAAAACAAUUUACAAAAAGCAAAUAACUAGUAACAACAAUUCAAAAACCACUUAAGAAACUCUUGAAUUUACAUACAAAUGUACCCAUGACCAACAGAUGGCGUUAAGUCAUGUUAACGUGGCAGGAUGACGACUACUGAUGAAUUAAAGCUGUAAAACCAGUCUCUUCUACAAGCAGGUGUCGUGUGUGAUGUCCUGAAGGAUAUGGUGUCCUGAAUGCAGUAGGUGGACAACACAUUCUAAUUAAGAGGAUGAAAGGGUCAUGUAGUCAUUGAGAGACGAUUCAACGAUGGACAUUGAGUCUCAAGUGGGCCCCUCGCAAGCCUGAGAAAAGGGAUGAAAAGUCAGAAAUUAACGAUAAAAAGAUUCUGUAUUCUUCUUAGAGAUCAAGCGACCCAUUAACAGUGUAACACAUGUUUUAUCAAUCAGUUUACUUGCUUCUUUCUUUAGUUAUGAAACAAGCCGUGUA